UCAAGAAUAUUCCUCAAUGGACGAAAGUCUGAAGGAGCGACGCCGCGUGCAGGAUGAAGGUUUUCGGAUCGUAAACUGCUUUUACAAGGGAAGAAUUUGUGACGGUACCUUGUGAAUAAGAGGUUGCUAACUCUGUGCCAGCAGCAGCGGUAAUACAGAGACCUCAAGCGUUAUCCGGAUUUAUUGGGCGUAAAGCGUCCGCAGGUGGUCUAGCGGGUUAGAGGUUAAAAUCUAUCGCUUAACGAUAGAACUGCUUCUAAAACUACUAGACUUGAGUACGGAAGAGGCAAUCGGAAUUCUCGGUGUAGUCGUAAUAAGCGUUGAUAUCGAGAAGAACACCAAAUGCGAAGGCAGAUUGCUGGUACGUUACUGACACUCAUGGACGAAAGCGUGGGGAGCAAACAGG
This 406-nucleotide ribosomal RNA is filed under the name uncultured bacterium. RNAcentral's name for it is "bacterial SSU rRNA". It matches the Rfam family "Bacterial small subunit ribosomal RNA", at positions 355 to 776 of the family's 1533-position model. The record is from RNAcentral.